This is a non-coding RNA of Prunus avium (sweet cherry), 2864 nucleotides long. NCBI's taxonomy places the organism in Eukaryota, Viridiplantae, Streptophyta, Magnoliopsida, Rosales, Rosaceae. The record is from RefSeq and is a predicted model, not a curated record.
AAUCAUGUUUCUCUUUCGUACCUUAUCUUUUCACAUAACAUAGUAAUAUGGUUCAAGCAGACAUAUAUAGUCUCUUGUGUGGCACCCUCUAUGAAAUUGUUUUAGUAUUUGUGAUAGGAUAAGAGUCUGAGGCUUAAAGGAUUUAAAGCUAGCUUUUAUUCUCUUUUUCUCUUCCUCUUUGUUGUUUCAGUUUUGUUUUAUCCUUUUUAUUAUUUGUUUAUUUCAAUCACAGUUUGGGAACUGCAUGCUUGAUCAAUGUCUGUAAAAGUUUUAUUCAUCUGUGAAAAAACUGAUACUGUUGUUUAUUGGGUACGACUUUUGCAAAACUGCUGGAAUCUGAACCCCAUGGAUAUAAAAUAAAAAAAAAGGGUCCCUGGAAUGGAUGCAAUUAGUGAAAGUCUCAAUCUGAAGUUCUUCCCUGUUUGUCCUGAUUGCAUACAUGAUUUAUACAUGGGGAGAAUCACCUUUCAGGACAUUGAUUGUACUUCAUUUGUGCAUGUAGACUGAGUUUUACAUUCGCUGGCUUGGUGUCUGAAUUCUAGAGGCUGCUGAUGAUACAUGCAGAUGUUGAGAAUUGUUGCAACUGCUUAACCCAGUUUUUGGUAGGAAUGGUAGAACCUUGCUGGCUGCAAACUGGGUAGAUAUGACAUUUCUUGUUUUUGCAAUGGUGAAUGAGGAGCAGUGUGACUUGGAGCAUGCAUUUUGUGAAGAAAUUUCACGUCCAUAUGAAUAAAUGGAUGAGAGUUGUCCACCUCAAAACACUAAAGCAGUAGCAUGAUGCAUGUUCAUGCUACAUUUUCGUUGUGUCGUCCCGGAAUGUCGGGAGACACACACAUAAACAUUUGCAUAAGUUUGGUUGUAUUGUGUUCGAUUAUAUGUUCAUUAAACAAGUUAUAUAAUUAAGAUCUGUUGGUUCUAUUAGACAUGUUUAGGGAGUGUGGCUGCUGCUAAAUUAUUGACAACUAAUGAUGCUAGAAAAUAUGGGUCAAUUAAGAGGCAGCUUACAUAGCAUGUGUUUAGUGAAGAUGAUUUGUUAGCAUAAAUGAAUGACACCACUGGUUUCAAAGUUUGAUUCAAGUCAAAGAGCAAUAAGGGUUUUGGUAGUUAAGGGAAGUACUUGAUUGUUAAAAACAAUAAAUUAAGGUUGGCUGGAAUAAUAUACUUUCCAACAUCAAAUUAAGGUUUAAUAUAAUUGAGAUUUUUGUUUUCUAGAUGAUUGAUUGAAAGGUCAUGUGAGUUCUAAUAAUGCUUAGGGGAAAAAUCAUUUUUUUCACCAUGUGGUUUGGCUCAACUUCAUUAUUCUGCAUCAUGAGUGGAAUGGUGCCACUUUUUCGCUGUGGCUUAUUUCCUUACCUUCUUUGUGGUGCGUCAUGUAUCAUCCUCACUAACCCAAUCAAAAGUUUGCAAAACAUUCCCUAUUAAUGAUUUUAUGGUGGAUAUGAUAAAAUUUUACACCCCCUCCUAAUCCUCAAAUUUGUUGCAAGUGCAAGUAAUUGUAGUCACUAAUGCCUGUCUAGCCAACAGCAUAAACCAUAGCUGACAUUUUAUAAUUGGGUUCUACCACAGGGUGGUAAAGGGUUUCACCUAAAGCUCUUUCCCGUUUUAGCUUCUGCAUAAAAGGAAGUGGUAUCGACCAACCACAGUUUCAUUUUCUGCAUUUGAUUUGUGGCUCUUAGACAAGUUGCUUUGACUGUUUCAAUACAUUAUAUUAAUAUAAGAAAUAUUGAAUAUCGAAACAAAUGAACUUGUGAGCUAGGGACAGUAACUCAAUAAUUCUUAAUUACAUCUUUUGACUUGUAAACCAAGUUGAGAUUUCCAUAAGCAUAGGCAGUUUAGACUGGUUGUUGCCAACUGUUGGUCAAAUAGUAAAGGUAGUUAUAAUGCUUUUGGGAAUUUCAGGGCCUCAGUACGUUCUAUAUUCCUUUUUCACGUUAAUGAAUUCUCUUGAUUAUUCAUCACCUGGACUGUUGUAUUCAUAUGAUUGUGUAGAAUGUGUAGAACGAUGAUUGAUUCAAUUUGAUGAUUAUUAGUUCUGAAUCUGCUUGGACAUUAUGCUGCAUAAUCGGCAAGAAACAAUAGAAUGGAAAUUGUCUGUUUUUUCUAUCUGCAGAACUCUGAAAGGUGACUGUUAGAUGGAGCAGGUUUCAUGGCCAACCGGUCCACAUAAAUGUGGAUCAGAUCCUUCUAGUGGGUACAUUUGACAACGGGUGGUGUUAAAUUAAACAUUAUGAAAGUUGAAAAAUGAAAAUCAGGACACUGAGAAACUGAAAGGGGGAAACGAUAGUGAAUAUGGUGGCCCCUUGUAGCAUUAAAUGUGUAGCCUUUUUCCAUUAAUUUUUAUUCAAUUAAUUGGUUUGAAAUCUCUGUCUUGUAAUUUGUUUGUUCAUGCAUGUUAAUCCUGUCGUUACUAGGACUGUUUGUGAAAUAAAGAGUAAGAAUUCUGCAAGAUUCUAUUGUGGCAGCUGGGAGCAGCAACUGUUACUAGGUGAGGAUAGAAAAUAGAAGAAAAUGAGCCAUAUGAAAUGGUAGUUGAAUAUGUUGCUAGGCCUUUGGCUUCGAUGGUAUUGGGAAUUUGGGGUGGCUUGAGAGAAUGGUAGGUCCCAAGUUUUGAUGAGACAAGUGAAGAUUGAUUAUGAAAAAGAUGGUUGCUCCUGCUUGGAUCAAGUACGAGACUCAUUGAGAUGGUCCCUCCUGGUUUAGAAGACCCUGCACAGUAUUUAUUUCUUUAUUUUUCGCAUGCACCAUUUGGUGCGGUGAAGAGAUGGUCUUGGCUUCGAGCGAAAAAGACCAUUUUAUCCCUUCGGGCUCAAGUGAAGUGACAAACUAUCAUUUCUUUCUUGAUAUAAAAUAUAUUAUUUUAUUCA